CCAGGGGUGGUUCGGCUGGUAGAACAUGAGACUCUUAAUCUCAGAGUCGGGGAUUCAAGCUCUGCCCCACCUUGGG
Podarcis lilfordi (Lilford's wall lizard) is the source of this 76-nucleotide non-coding RNA. The record is from the annotation of a GenBank genome assembly. NCBI's taxonomy places the organism in Eukaryota, Metazoa, Chordata, Lepidosauria, Squamata, Lacertidae.